GUUCCUGACUUUAUUAGAUAUUUUGCUACGUUGUUUGUCGUAUGUUUUAAAACUACUUAUCGCUGUGAGUUAUUUGAAUUUGGUAUUUGCAUUCAAUAAAUUGUUCCUUGUGAAAUAAAUAUAUAUAAUAUAGUUUCUACUACUAUUAAUGAUAUUGUCCGUAAUUAGACAUUUCGAAUAAUGCCAACUUGUUAUCGCCACAUAUUGCACAAAUUUUGGUUCAAAUUAAUUCUUUAAUCGAAGUUGGCAUAUAUAUAUAUAUAUAUAUAUAUAUAUAUAUAUA
This is a non-coding RNA of Paramuricea clavata, 283 nucleotides long. NCBI's taxonomy places the organism in Eukaryota, Metazoa, Cnidaria, Anthozoa, Malacalcyonacea, Plexauridae. The record is from the annotation of a GenBank genome assembly.